CGGUGAACACGGAGCUUGCUCUGUGGGAUCAGUGGCGAACGGGUGAGUAACACGUGAGCAACCUGCCCCUGACUCUGGGAUAAGCGCUGGAAACGGCGUCUAAUACUGGAUAUGUGACGUGCCCGCAUCGUCUGCGUCUGGCAAGAAUUUCGGUUGGGGAUCGGCUCGCGGCCUCUCAGCUCCUUGGUGAGGUAAUGGCUCACCAAGGCGUCGACGGGUAGCCGGCCUGAGAGGGUGACCGGCCACACUGGGACUGAGACACGGCCCAGACUCCUACGGGAGGCAGCAGUGGGGAAUAUUGCACAAUGGCCGCAAGCCUGAUGCAGCAACGCCGCGUGAGGGACGACGGCCUUCGGGUUGUAAACCUCUUCUAGCAGGGAAGAAGCGAAAGUGACGGUACCUGCAGAAAAAGCGCCGCCUAACUACGUGCCAGCAGCCGCGGUAAUACGUAGGGCGCAAGCGUUAUCCGGAAUUCAUCGGGCGUAAAGAGCUCGUAGGCGGUUUGUCGCGUCCGCCCGUGAAAUCCGGAGGCUCAACCUCCGGCCUGCAGUGGGUACGGGCAGACUAGAGUGCGGUAGGGGAGAUUGGAAUUCCUGGUGUAGCGGUGGAAUGCGCAGAUAUCAGGAGGAACACCGAUGGCGAAGGCCGAUCUCUGGGCCGUAACUGACGCUGAGGAGCGCAAGGGUGGGGAGCAAACAGGCUUAGAUACCCUGGUAGUCCACCCCGUAAAC
RNAcentral lists this ribosomal RNA (731 nucleotides) under Microbacterium sp. RNAcentral describes it as "bacterial SSU rRNA". It matches the Rfam family "Bacterial small subunit ribosomal RNA", at positions 67 to 807 of the family's 1533-position model. The record is from RNAcentral. Lineage: Bacteria; Bacillati; Actinomycetota; Actinomycetes; Micrococcales; Microbacteriaceae.